This is a long non-coding RNA of Girardinichthys multiradiatus, 482 nucleotides long. RefSeq lists it as uncharacterized. Lineage: Eukaryota; Metazoa; Chordata; Actinopteri; Cyprinodontiformes; Goodeidae. The record is from RefSeq and is a predicted model, not a curated record. The transcript has 4 exons.
UUUCGUCCACGUGGGGGCGAAAGCGAGCAUCAGCCAGCGACCUAUAUAACCUGAAAGCUAACGUUGUGGCGUCCUUUUCUGUAGUUGGAAGUGAGGAAGUUGUUCACAAUGCUUCCCAGUGUUAAAGGUUCAGUUAAUUCACAUCCCAGGCGGCAUAUUAAUCGCAUUUCAUUCGCUGGUCGUCUCUUCCAGCCAGAUGUUGGAUGACCGUAUCUUUAGUUCAUUGACCAGAUGGAUGAUGCUGCAGCAGGCUAUUGAAGCAGCAUAAUGAAUGUGCAGUGGGGGUCCCAGUAGAGCUGCAACGUAAUUUUUUGUUGCAACGGGAUGACUCCUAACUUAAUAUUCUAGCAGCAACGAACCACUGAGCAGGAAAUGAACGAGGCCUUUCUACACCCUCACCUUGCAGCACUUGGAUUUUAUCAUCACUCUGAAGACUUGCUGAUGUUUGCAGUUUCUUCUAAUAAACCAUAAAAAUCCUUAAA